CUCACACUAAUGACAUUAAUAGCACAAGAUCGAUCACUAGCUGUCAGUUCGCUACCUCCAAGGAAAGAUAAAGAUGAUGCUCCUAUUAUUCUCGCUAUCAUGAUAUCUGAAACCCCUUUAGCUUUGAGCCGUAGACUGGAUUGUAGUACUUUAUAUGAGAAGCAUCCAUGUACAAAGAAUUGGGUUCUUUUACCACCAAUAGACUCUUUUAGCUUUUGUUCCUUGCUAGAAUUGUGACCUGAACUCAUCCAACAUUUGUAUCAGUUAUCAAGUGGCACACAAGUUAUAACAUUUACUGAUGUUCCGUGGAACAACUCUCUUGUCAGGAACAUGGAGUUUGGAUCAUCUAUAUAUACUUGAGAUGGGUGGAGGUAGCAGUUUCAGCUGAACUUGGAAGCACCUUCAUGUCCACCAUGCGAAGGCCGAUGAUUGCAAAAUCGACUAGACUAAUUCGGGAGGUAAAGAAUGGGCAAGCAAGACUUGGGAAGCAACAGCAUGGAGCAGUAAAUGAUGCAUCAUGGUGGAUUCCUCAUCCAAGGACAGGGAUAUACUACCCCAAGGGGCAUGAAUGGGUGAUGGAAGAUGUGCCUGAGGGUGCUUCCUCCUUCCCAAGAACCUACUGGCUUAGGAGCUCUGAAGGGGUGGAGAAAGACUCUGAUCUCUCCACCUGCCCCGACUACAAUCACCCAUUCCUUGACGUAUGAGGAGCUUAGUAUCAUAGAACUAGCAGCAGUAACAACAGCAACAGUGUUCUACUUGCGGAGAAAUAAAGACUUCAGUAGCGUGUUGUCUCACAAUUGCUAUCGAGGAAUGAAUUAUCUACUGAA
This is a long non-coding RNA of Musa acuminata AAA Group (dessert banana), 827 nucleotides long. RefSeq lists it as uncharacterized. NCBI's taxonomy places the organism in Eukaryota, Viridiplantae, Streptophyta, Magnoliopsida, Zingiberales, Musaceae. The transcript has 2 exons. The record is from RefSeq and is a predicted model, not a curated record.